UGGGCGUAAAGGGUGCGUAGGUGGUCUUUCAAGUCGGUGGUUAAAGGCUACGGCUCAACCGUAUUAAGCCGCCGAAACUGGAAGACUUGAGUGCAGGAGAGGAAAGUGGAAUUCUCAGUGUAGCGGUGAAAUGCGUAGAUNUUGAGAAGAACACCAGUAGCGAAGGCGGCUUUCUGGACUGUAACUGACACUGAGGCACGAAAGCGUGGGUAGCAAACAGGAUUAGAUACCCUGGUAGUCCACGCCGUAAACGAUGAGUAUUAGGUGUCGGGGGUUACCCCCCUCGGUGCCGCAGUUAACGCAUUAAAUACUCCGCCUGGGGAGUACGCACGCAAGUGUGAAACUCAAAGGAAUUGACGGGGACCCGCACAAGUAGCGGAGCAUGUGGUUUAAUUCGAAGCAACGCGAAGAACCUUACCUAAGCUUGACAUCUCUCAGAUCGGUAGUUAAUCCUACCUUCCCUUCGGGGCUGAGAUGACAGGUGGUGCAUGGUUGUCGUCAGCUCGUGUCGUGAGAUGUUGGGUUAAGUCCCGCAACGAGCGCAACCCUUGUCUUUAGUUGCCAGCAUUAAGUUGGGCACUCUAGAGAGACUGCCAGGGAUAACCUGGAGGAAGGUGGGGAUGACGUCAAAUCAUCAUGCCCCUUAUGCUUAGGGCUACACACGUGCUACAAUGGGUGGUACAGAGGGUUGCCAAGCCGCAAGGUGGAGCUAAUCCCUUAAAGCCAUUCUCAGUUCGGAUUGUAGGCUGAAACUCGCCUACAUGAAGCUGGAGUUACUAGUAAUCGCA
RNAcentral lists this ribosomal RNA (788 nucleotides) under anaerobic bacterium B170. RNAcentral describes it as "bacterial SSU rRNA". It matches the Rfam family "Bacterial small subunit ribosomal RNA", at positions 555 to 1346 of the family's 1533-position model. The record is from RNAcentral.